Molecule: long non-coding RNA, 5986 nt
Filed under: Arabidopsis thaliana (thale cress)
Lineage: Eukaryota; Viridiplantae; Streptophyta; Magnoliopsida; Brassicales; Brassicaceae
Description: long non-coding RNA (ATHA_LNC000683)
Source: RNAcentral
AUCUAAAGACAUUGGAGAUGAUCUUAUAGGAUUUUACUAACAUAUAUAAGGAUAUACAUGAAUAAAAAACAUUUAAAUGUAGAUACAUACAGAUUUUAAGUAUAUGUAGUCACACUGAGAUCUGUUUUGCGAUGAAGAUAAUACUCUUGUACUGUAUAUCGUAAUCUGAGAUUUUGGUAUGUUUAAUUAGCUUUAUCAUUCUGUCAAAAUAUUUCCAACAAAUCUAACAAACGAAACGCAUGUGUCUAAUUAGCUCACAUUUCUUAAUAAAGUUUCUAAGGUAUUUGUGAUUUCAAGAAGAGCACAAAAUCAAGAUUUCAAACAAAUGCUACUUAAUUUUUCAUCAAAUGAAAAGAAAAUUAUAGUCAAAGUGAUUACAAUACAUAUAAGAGUAAUUUCACCCACCUACGUAAACAAGUCUAAACCCCUAAUAGUAAAAGAACCACAAAAGAACAGCCUCAACAUGGUAAUAUAUAUGACCAAUGUCAAAUUUGAAAUAGAAAGAAUUAAUUAAAUAUUUUCGACUCUAAACUUAAAACCAAAUAUUCCAAGAGACAUGCAUACCUUCAAGGCUUCAACCAAAAGUUUUUAUUUUUUCUUUAUUGAAAGACUAAAUUAAAAACGAGAUCAUGACAUUGGUGCUCCUUCUCGUAGAUGCAUUCUUUCGUAAGGAAGCCAACAAAGCCAAUCCAAGGAGCUUCGACACAACACAAAUCCUCCAAUGAAUAUGGCUUUCCAACAAAUCGUGUAAAACAUCUUUUUAUUCCCUUUGGAUGUUCAUCAUCUUUACCUGCAAAUGUCACACACCACCGUUGCCUCUUCCGCGAAGCUCCAUUUCUGAUAACAACCAUCGCAGACUCCGACCGCAUCCUCCGACGAUUUGAGGUAAUAUCCGACGCAGUUAACUUCUCUAAGUUAUUCCUGAAGGCAAAAGCAAUGCUUUAGGUUUUCAUUGAUAAUACUCUCUUAACUUUACAAAAGAUGAUGGGGUUUUGUUUAUAUACAACAAGAGAGACAUAGCUAAAACCCUAGAGAGAAACGACAGGUGUCACACAUCAAGCUGGACUCUCUGAAUCAAGGGUCAGGAACCUGUUCUCAAGCUUGAUGUUGAAAGCCUUUUCCGUACUGAGAUUAGGUGAACUUGUCUUGAGGUUGCCAGCUCUGUUCUUGUCGUUACUUGGAGAAGAUGACCGUUGCUUCCAAGUUUGUGUUGUGGGCUUCUUGGGCCUGCAUUGGGCUUUCAUUUGUUUCUUUGCUGAGUUCAGAGAAACUGCAGAGUUUUGAGGCUUCAUUACUUGAAUUGUGUUGAUAAUUCCCAAAGUCUUGUUUCAUGAUUCAUCUUCUUUACUGUAAAGAAAUGAAAAAUGUUCCUUUCUGAUAUUAUAUAUUCACAAAAUUCUGACAUUUUUGACUCUUUUCAUUUCGUAGAUUUAAUUUCGAUUCUCCUCCAAAGAUCCAUCUCAUAUUCUCUGAUGUUCCGGUUACUCCGGGUAAACUCAUGAACCUUGCAUCAUCUUCUUUGUCUCUGAGUAUAAAUAUUAAUUUUUCUGUGCUGUCUUGUUAUGCAUUUUCAUGCCACGUCAAAAUACUGUCACCAUUUGGAUAUAGCACUCGAAAGUUGGUACUUUUUGUUGCUUUAUCAAUCAUUGCAUGAAACGCUGGAUUAGCUGUAUGGUAGACUGCAGACAAGUUGUCACAAAACAAUUCAGGAGUAUCUGGGAGAGGAAUGCCAAGCUCACGGAGAAGAGUGCUCAGCCAGAGGAUCUCAGAGGCAGCAUCAGAUAAGGUGCGGUAUUCAGCUUCUGUGGAGCUUCGGGAGACAGUUGGAUGUUUCUUUGACGACCAUGACACCAGGUUCGUGGCCAUAAAGGUGCAGAGGCCACCAACAGAGCGUCUUGUGAGCUUACAGUUGCCCCAGUCACUGUCACUGUAAGCUUGCAAAAGAGUAGGAGAAUUUUGAUUGUAAGAGAUUCCCAUAGUGAUGGUACCUUUUAUGUACCUUAGAAUCCGCUUCAGAAGAUGAAAGUCUGACAUUGUUGGCUGGUGCAUCUUUUGGCACACGAAGUUUACAGCAAAAUGUAUGUCAGGGCGAGUCAAGGUGAGAUAUUGGAGCUUUCCAGCAAUACUCCUGAAAUAAGUUGGAUCAGUGAAAGGUUCUUCUUGGUGUGGAACUCUGUCAAGCUGAACGGGUAGAGGAGUUGGCAGAGGAGUGCAGUUCUCCAUUGCAGAAGCCACCAAGAGAUCUUCAGCAUACUUCUGCUGAGACAUAAACAGGCCGUGUUGAUUUCGCUGAACCUGAAUUCCCAGGAAGUAGUGGAGUUGUCCCAUAUCAGUCAUUCUGAAUUCUUUGUUGAGAGCUGCUAGAAGACUGGAUAAUGUCUGUGAACUAUUUCCUGUAAUCACCAUGUCAUCAACAUAAAGAAGAAGCAGAAUGAGGUUAUUAUUAUGAGCAUAGAUGAAUAGUGAAGGGUCAGAUUUACUGCAGAAAAAUCCAAACUCCAAGAGAAAGGUGCUGAACUUGUCAAACCAAGCUCUUGGGGACUGUUUUAAACCAUAGAUAGAUUUGUGAAGCAAGCAAACAUGAGUUGGUUUACUCUUAUCAACAAAACCAGCAGGCUGAGUCAUGUAAACAGUCUCAUUUAGAUCGCCAUGUAAGAAGGCGUUUUUAACAUCCAUUUGCUUCAACUCCCAGUUCAAAGCAGUAGCCAAAUGGAGAACCAAUUGGACUGUAGGUGUUCUUACUACAGGACUGUAGGUCUCAAGAUAGCCAAUCCCUUCUUCUUGAAGAAAACAUUUUGCAACUAUCCGAGCCUUGAGCUUAUUUAAGGUUCCAUCAGCGUGGAGUUUAGUCCGGAAGACCCAUUUGCUUCCAAGAACAUGCAUGUUAGGUGUGUAUGGCACCAGGGACCAUGUAUUAGUUUCAGAACAGUUGCCCAUUUCUUCUGUCAUGGCGCCUGUCCAACCCGGAUGCUUUAAAGCCGCAGUUACUGUCUUUGGCUCAGGAUAAGUAACCUUGUGAGACAGAAAAACAUAACGAGGAUUUGGUUUUGUGAUUCCCACCUUAGCUCUUGUGAUCAUUGGGUGAGUGUUAGUAGGAGGUGGAGCUUGUUGAGUAGGAACUGGAGCUGCCAUGAGAUCUUCUACAGUGUCAUCCACCAAAAGCUGGGAUGAGUGAGAGCUGUCGCCAAUAGAAGCAGAAUCGAAGUUUAUCGUACGCUCAGAACUCUCAUUCACCACAGCAGGUGGAUGAGUUGAAUUGAUUGUUGUUGUUGAAGGUUGAGACACAAGUGCAGCAGCAGAAUUCUGAGACAACUGAGGGCUUCUCCGUGGUAAAGGAGGAAAAUCAGCAGCAGUAAAAAGAGGAGGCGUGGGUAGUGUUGCCUUUCUCUGUGGUGGUUGUGCUGGAGACACUUUUGGUGGUGCCUGAGACACGGAGGAUUCAAACCCCUUGAACCAUGCUGCAAGUAAUGGAGUUGUAGGCUGCGAAUGAAGGUGUUUAUAGUGAUGAGAGAAAGGAUAAGCUGUUUCAUCAAAAAUCACAUGCCUGCUUAUAUAAACCCGUCCUGUAGGUGGAUAUAAACACCUAUACCCCUUGUAUUUGUCAUUGUACCCCAGGAAAACGCACUUAAGAGAGCGAGGGUCAAAUUUGUUCAUAGCAUAGUCACGCAUAGUUGGAAAACAAGCACAACCGAAAGAUCUGAGAGCUGUAUAGUCCGGAGUCGUCUGAUGCAGCUUUUCAUAAGGUGAAAUAGCAUCCUCAACAGCAGAUGUAGGGAGAAGAUUAAUCAGAAAGUUGGCAGUGAAGAAGGCUUCAACCCAAAACUUAAGAGGGACUUUACUCUGAAACAGCAUAGAUAAGCCUAAUUCCACCAAAUGCCUGUGCUUCCUUUCUGCUAGUCCAUUUUGUUGAGGAGUGUGAGGAUAUGAGAUGUGUUGUUGUAUCCCAUGAUUCUGAAGAUGUUGCAGAAACUUAUGAUUGACAAACUCUCCACCACCAUCACAUUGAAACACACUAAUCUUAUGAUUAAGUUGGUUUUCAACUAGCUUGUGAAAUGCAACAAAGAUAUUGUAGAAAUCUGACUUGAGCUUCAAAGGAUAAAUCCAACUGAAUCGAGAAUAAUGAUCAAUAAAGACUGCAUAAUAUCUAAAGCCUUGUACAGAAGUAAUUGGAGAGGGUCCCCACAAGUCACAGUGAACCCUCUCAAGAGGUCUAUUUGAAGUAAAUGAAGAAGAAACAAAUGGCAGCCUAGUGCUCUUCCCAAGCUGACAUGCUUCACAGAGUGACUUAGAAGUCUUAUUGAUAGAGAUAGAGUUGGUCUUGACCAGUUGCUGCAGGACUUGAGGAUGAGGAUGUCCAAGGCGUCUGUGCCACACUUCAUCACUUGCGGACUGCUGACGAGUGGAGAAGAAAGCCUUGAACUGAGAGUCAUCCUUCAGACAAUAUAAACCAUCACAAGUGCUUCCCAUUAUGAGAAGCUUCUUGGUUGCCUUAUCAUUGAUACGCACACCAUCAGAGUCAAACUCAACAGUACAUGGAUAAUCUUGAGUAAGCUUAGACACAGACAAGAGAGAUUUCGUUAUGCUUGGGCAAACAAGAACAUCAGUGAGAGGGACAUUACCUGAUGAGGAAGCCAAGUUUGUUGAGCCAGUGUGUGUAAUGGGCAGAAAAUUACCAUCAGCAACCAUGACAGCAUCAGAUCCAUGGUAUGGUUGAGAUUGUUGCAGGGAUCGAGGACUGUUUGUGACAUGAGCAGUUGCAGCAGAAUCUGGAAGCCAUUCAUUGCCAUGUUGAUCUGUAAUAUCAGUGAUGCGCAUUGCAGCUAAGGCACGAGGAAGCUCUUCGUAUUGGUAGCUGUUGUUGAAGCGAUGCCAACACUUAAGAGCUGGAUGACCCAUUUUCCCGCAAAUCUGACAGACAACCGAAGUACCACCAGACUGAGAACCUGAAGAACUGUUUGUUGAAGAUAUCUGCUGAUGGAAACCACGACCACGAGUACUAAAUGAGUUUCUGCCUCUGUUAGAUUUCCCUUUGCCACGAUUGUAAGCAUUGAAGUAACCAGAAGCAUUAGAGUCAUCUGAAGUGGUGAUGUUGAAGGCGACAUGAGGUGAAACUGCUGUCUCUUCAAGAUAACCCUGAAGUCGAUCGUCAUAGCCUGUAAGCUUAGGAAUAACAUCCUCUAGACUAGGACCAGGCAGAGCAUCCAUGGAGUUUUCAAUAGUGGUUUUGAUAGGCUCAUACUCUCGCCCUAACCCAUUCAAAGCAGCAAAAAUCUUCAUCUUUUCUGUUACAGGACUUCCUACAGAGGCUAGUUGGUCACAAAUAGUCUUAAGGUCCUUAAGAUAUUCAUCCAUAGAUUUAUCACGUUUGCUAACAUUUUGGAGGCGUCUUUGCAGCUCAAAUAACCUAGAGGAGGAAACCCUAUUAAAGUGGUUUGCUACAGAGAUCCAUACCUCAUGAGAAGUGUUGCAGUUGACCACAACACUGAGAAUAUCUUCUAAGAAAGAACCAAGGAGCCAGGAUUUGACAACUCGAUCUGUCUUGAACCAGGUGUAGUACUCAGGAUUGGGUGAAGCCGAUGUUGACCCAUCAAUGUCUGAAACAACGCUGGUUUGGCUUGGUGCAGGAAUCGAGCCUGUGACAAAACCCAGAAGCCCUUGACCAUCAAGAAAAGAUUCGAACUGAGAUUUCCAGAGAAUAUAGUUCUUGGCAGUAAGAGUGACGGUGACACAAUUUGAAAUAUUGAGAGAAGGAACAGAGUAGAGUUCCAUGGAUCUAUGUUCCAUGAGCUCUGAUACCAUGAAGGCAAAAGCAAUGCUUUAGGUUUUCAUUGAUAAUACUCUCUUAACUUUACAAAAGAUGAUGGGGUUUUGUUUAUAUACAACAAGAGAGACAUAGCUAAAACCCUAGAGAGAAACGACAGGUGUCACACAUCAAGCUGGACUCUCUGAAUCAAGGGUCAGGAACCUGUUCUCAAGCUUGAUGUUG